AGUCGUAACAAGGUCUCCGUUGGUGAACCAGCGGAGGGAUCAUUACCGAGUUUACAACUCCCAAACCCCUGUGAACAUACCACUUGUUGCCUCGGCGGAUCAGCCCGCUCCCGGUAAAACGGGACGGCCCGCCAGAGGACCCCUAAACUCUGUUUCUAUAUGUAACUUCUGAGUAAAACCAUAAAUAAAUCAAAACUUUCAACAACGGAUCUCUUGGUUCUGGCAUCGAUGAAGAACGCAGCAAAAUGCGAUAAGUAAUGUGAAUUGCAGAAUUCAGUGAAUCAUCGAAUCUUUGAACGCACAUUGCGCCCGCCAGUAUUCUGGCGGGCAUGCCUGUUCGAGCGUCAUUUCAACCCUCAAGCACAGCUUGGUGUUGGGACUCGCGUUAAUUCGCGUUCCCCAAAUUGAUUGGCGGUCACGUCGAGCUUCCAUAGCGUAGUAGUAAAACCCUCGUUACUGGUAAUCGUCGCGGCCACGCCGUUAAACCCCAACUUCUGAAUGUUGACCUCGGAUCAGGUAGGAAUACCCGCUGAACCUAAGCAUAUC
This 546-nucleotide unclassified non-coding RNA is filed under the name Fusarium oxysporum. Its description in RNAcentral is "sequence contains 18S rRNA gene, ITS1, 5.8S rRNA gene, ITS2, 28S rRNA gene". The stretch from base 194 to 347 matches the Rfam family "5.8S ribosomal RNA". The record is from RNAcentral. Lineage: Eukaryota; Fungi; Ascomycota; Sordariomycetes; Hypocreales; Nectriaceae.